CCGUCCUCCUCCAGCCGACAGCCGUCCUCCUUCGGCCGUUCUUCACAGAAAUUGUGCAUCAAUCAACUUCUUAAAGCAAAUUGUGAUUUGUGAAUUAGAUGAUAUAGAAUUUUGAAAUAUAGCUUAUGGAAAUGUAAAAGACAUUGUGCAAUGGAGAAUUUUGAUUUUGAAUCUUGUUUUAAGCACACCAUAUGCCAAACUGAUCAACAACACUAGGACAACAAUGAUCCACAUAAAUCAUGCCUGAUGGCAUCAAUCAACUUCUUAAAGCAA
This is a long non-coding RNA of Helianthus annuus (common sunflower), 273 nucleotides long. RefSeq lists it as uncharacterized. Lineage: Eukaryota; Viridiplantae; Streptophyta; Magnoliopsida; Asterales; Asteraceae. The transcript is spliced from 3 exons. The record is from RefSeq and is a predicted model, not a curated record.